Molecule: ribosomal RNA, 253 nt
Filed under: uncultured bacterium
Lineage: Bacteria
Description: partial 16S ribosomal RNA
Rfam family: Bacterial small subunit ribosomal RNA
Source: RNAcentral
UACGAGAGGCCCAAACGUUAUUCGGAAUUACUGGGCUUAAAGAGUUCGUAGGCGGCAUGAAAAGUAGGGUGUGAAAGCCCUCGGCUCAACCGAGGAAUUGCGCUCUAAACUGUCGUGCUAGAGGAAGCUAGAGGUGAGCGGAACUGAUGGUGGAGCGGUGAAAUGCGUUGAUAUCAUCAGGAACACCGGAGGCGAAGGCGGCUCACUGGGGCUUUUCUGACGCUGAGGAACGAAAGCCAGGGGAGCAAACGGG